CUACGGGAGGCACCAGUGGGGAAUAUUGGACAAUGGGGGAAACCCUGAUCCAGCAAUGCCGCGUGUGUGAAGAAGGCCUGCGGGUUGUAAGGCACUUUCGGUUGGGAGGACUGCUUCUAGCACUAAUAUUGUUGGAAGUUGACGUUACCUUCAGAAGAAGCACCGGCUAACUCCGUGCCAGCAGCCGCGGUAAUGCGGAGGGUGCAAGCGUUAAUCGGAAUUACUGGGCGUAAAGCGCGCGUAGGCGGCUAGAUCAGUCGGGUGUGAAAGCCCCGGGCUUAACCUGGGAACUGCAUCCGAUACUGUCUAGCUUGAGUACAGGAGAGGAGAGUGGAAUUCCACAUGUAGCGGUGAAAUGCGUAGAUAUGUGGAGGAACACCAAUGGCGAAGGCAGCUCUCUGGCCUGAUACUGACGCUGAGGUGCGAAAGCGUGGGGAGCAAACAGGAUUAGAUACCCGGGUAGUC
RNAcentral lists this ribosomal RNA (465 nucleotides) under uncultured bacterium. RNAcentral describes it as "partial 16S ribosomal RNA". It matches the Rfam family "Bacterial small subunit ribosomal RNA", at positions 339 to 795 of the family's 1533-position model. The record is from RNAcentral.